AGCGUGACAGCCUUCAGGGGUCCUGCUCACAGUCAUCACACAAAAGACAAAAAUUAUUCUGAUGGCCACCACAAGGAUCCCCCAAGCAGGCCCUGCGCUUUCUGCAAAGCCGCCUCCCUCGCCUGCCUUCUCUGCUCUGCGACCCCCAGUGUCGCCAGGUGCCCCCAUGGUGUUCACGGCACAGCCGUGGGCUCCUAGGGCAGAAAACUAGGAAUCCAUGGAGAUGACCCACACUCUCUGCAGUGGUGGACGGUGGUCAUCCGAAAGUAACAGAAAUAACAGCAAGCCAAGCGAGGAGGCACCUGAGGGGGGACGGACGCUCUGGACACGUAUCUACGCCUGGAGGUGUCCAGCCCAAGCCCAGAUCGAGCUGUGCGGCCAGCCAGAGGGCGCAGAGGAUGGAGACCACCACACAUGUGCAGGAGGGGCAUGGCGUUUUUAGGUAAUGGGGCGACUUUGAAAGGUGUGGUACGGAGCUGGCUAACGCCUGAGCACCGGUCACCCUCUGCAGAGUGCUCACGCUGAUCACAGUCCAUCCCCCCCUCUGCGGAGCACAUGGAGCCCCGCCAAGGUCGAGGGACGCACCCAGGUCACAGGCUGGCGGGCAGUGCUCCAGACGGGACUGGACACCGCACCACAGUCUGAAAGCACAAGCUCCACCCAGGAGGGACAAAGCGUGCGAAUAAAAUAGCACCUGCUGCAGUCCUCUCCGGCACUAGAGUGAUCCAGGUGGGCCGCAGGGAGCUGGGAUAGCAGGUUGUCAACUUGAGGCUAAAACAUUUUCAUCUGCGAUGUAUCUUCAUAGACAUGUCCAUCCUCCCAUUCUUCCAUACCUAUCCAUUCUUCUUGGCCUAAUUUAUAAAUUGACCUUAUUAUAGGUACGCAUAGGAAAAACAUGGUGGAUAUGAGGUCUGGCGCUCUGCUUGGUUUCCAUCCUCCACGGGGGGCCUUGGAACACAUCCGUCACAUGUAAGGGGGGACUGUAGUACCUGCCAUGUGUCAAGCACGCCAGGGGAUAAUUACAGCUAAUAUUUACAAUA
Chinchilla lanigera (long-tailed chinchilla) is the source of this 1040-nucleotide long non-coding RNA. RefSeq lists it as uncharacterized. The record is from RefSeq and is a predicted model, not a curated record. Lineage: Eukaryota; Metazoa; Chordata; Mammalia; Rodentia; Chinchillidae. The transcript has 3 exons.